CACUAGUGAUUCUUGGUCAUUUAGAGGAAGUAAAAGUCGUAACAAGGUCUCCGUUGGUGAACCAGCGGAGGGAUCAUUACUGGGUGGCUUCGGCCGUAUACCCCUAACCAUUGUGAACGAAACAGUUGCCUCGCUGGAGGGUUGGUGAAAACCGCCCGCCGGCAGCACAAAACUCUUCUGAUGUUAUCUCUGAGUUGCUUAUAAAUAAGUUAAAACCUUCAACAACGGAUCUCUUGGUUCUGGCAUCGAUGAAGAACGCAGCGAAAUGCGAUAAGUAAUGUGAAUUGCAGAAUUCAGUGAAUCAUCGAAUCUUUGAACGCACAUUGCGCCCGUCAGUAUUCUGGCGGGCAUGCCUGUUCGAGCGUCAUUUCAACCAUCGAGCCCUAGGCUUGUGUUGGGGCACUGCGGCUGCCGCAGGCCCCUAAAAGCAGUGGCGGACUCGCUGUCAUACCGAGCGCAGUAGCAUAUCUCGCUCAGGGCGUGGCGGCGGGCACCGGCCGUAAAACAACUAAAACUUAAGGUUGACCUCGGAUCAGGUAGGAAUACCCGCUGAACUUAAGCAUAUCAAUAAGCG
This 574-nucleotide ribosomal RNA is filed under the name uncultured fungus. RNAcentral's name for it is "eukaryotic LSU rRNA". The stretch from base 214 to 367 matches the Rfam family "5.8S ribosomal RNA". Lineage: Eukaryota; Fungi. The record is from RNAcentral.